Molecule: small RNA, 482 nt
Filed under: Malus domestica (apple)
Lineage: Eukaryota; Viridiplantae; Streptophyta; Magnoliopsida; Rosales; Rosaceae
Source: RNAcentral
AAGGCUUUUUAGGAACUCACUGGCUUCAGGUUCCAUCAGAACUUCGAAGUUAAGCGAGUUUGCGCGAAAGUAAUCUCAUGAUGGGUGACCUACUAGGAAGUUCUCGUGUGAGUUUCUAGAAACAAAACCGUAAGGGCGUGGUCGGGGCCCAAAGAGGACAAUAUUGUGCUACGGUGGAGUCGAGCCCGAGAUGUGGUGGGGGCCUGGGGCGGGAUGUGACAAUUUGGUAUCAGAACCAAUCCCUGGCCGGAAGUGUGCCGACGAGGACGUCGGGGCCCUAAGGGGAGUGGAUUGUAACAUCCCACAUCGCCCAGGGGAGUGGAUACUAUAAGUCUUAUAUGUAUAUUCCCAUCUCUACAUAGCACGAGACAUUUUGGGAGCUCACUGGCUUCGAGUUCCAUCAGAACUCCGAAGUUAAGUGAGUUUGGGCGAGAGUAAUCCCAUGAUGGGUGACCCACUGGGAAGUUCUCGUGUGAGUUUCC